This 253-nucleotide ribosomal RNA is filed under the name uncultured bacterium. RNAcentral describes it as "partial 16S ribosomal RNA". It matches the Rfam family "Bacterial small subunit ribosomal RNA", at positions 524 to 776 of the family's 1533-position model. The record is from RNAcentral.
UACGGAGGGUGCAAGCGUUAUCCGGAUUCACUGGGUUUAAAGGGUGCGUAGGCGGGUUGGUAAGUCCGUGGUGAAAUCUCCAAGCUUAACUUGGAAACUGCCGUGGAUACUAUCAAUCUUGAAUAUAGUGGAGGUGAGCGGAAUAUGUCAUGUAGCGGUGAAAUGCUUAGAUAUGACAUAGAACACCCAUUGCGAAGGCAGCUCGCUACACUAUUAUUGACGCUGAGGCACGAAAGCGUGGGGAGCAAACAGG